GGGCCCAACCCAUUUGGUCUCCAAGCACAACCCAUGCAUUGAAGCCCAACCCCUUUAUUUUCACCCCAACGGCGCUGUUUAGCCUCCAGCCCUUAGGGCAUUUCUCCAUUUUCUUUCCUUCUCUUUUUCCUUCUUCAGUGCCGCUACCUCCUUCCUUCUCUUUUCCAUUCGUUUUCUUCUUCUCCUCCUGCAAGCAGACAAAUUCUUCUUCUUUAUAUUUUUUCAGCUUCUUCUUCCUCUGUAAAUCAGUGGUUGCAACUCUCUUCCUUUUCUUUCAUUUUCAUAUUCUUUCCUCUGUUUUGUGUGCGGUACCGCUGCUCUUCUUCCCUUGCUUCUUCUUCAUUUCUUCUUCUCUUUUCUUCUGUCACCUACUGUUCAGUCCUUAUUGUGAGCCUCCAUGCCGUCUCUCUCUAUUUUUUUCCCUUGGUGUUUCCGAAAAUUUUAGCUUGUGAAACCCUUGCAUUUCCAUUUGUUUUCCCCACAAAUUGUGCCCUGUUUUAGCUCCCGAAAUCAUGCUCUAUUCUUGGCCAAAAUCGUGUGCCAAAGCUCUAGUUUCUUGCUUCUUUAUUCACCUCCAUUUCCACUUUUCCAUCCUCAAAUUGUGUGAUUUUAGUUCCCUAUUUUUUAGCCAACCCAUGCCCCUAUUUUUUAUCCCAAGCUGUGGACUUUGAUCUGAGUUUUGGGUGGGUUAUUUCCUCUACUGUAAGCCCCAUUUUCCAGCCAUUAUUCCCUUCAUUUUUACCUCUUGUAAAUCAGUUCUUUUUCCCAAAAAUAUCACCUAAAAUCCCCUUAUUUUCGAAACCCAUUUUCAGUCUAAAAAAUUGUGAUUUUUUGAGAUUUCUUUACAGGCUUGCUUUUGGCGUUAAACCAAGUGCAUGGGUGCUUGAAUUUCCAAAUUUUCCUUUUAAGCACUGUUGGGGGUGUCACACAGAGUAUGCAUAACGUGAUAUCACUAAUCCCCUGAUCGAUGUUUGUGGGUUGAGGAAAUAAGGACUUGGUGGCGAUAAUUUCGCACCAAGCAAAGUGUCAGCGUCCACGAGUUGUAAUCACUCCCACGACCAGCAUCUACCACAUUCAACCUCAAAAGACUCGGUUGGAGCUUUCAACACUGACUUUGUGUAAAUAUCUCUACCAAAUCUCUUAUCUCCCCUGUUUGAUUAUAUCGGUAAAAUAAAUGUGGGUCUUUCAUAGUAAAUCUGUGUAGAAUGGUUUCAAUAACCGUUUGGCAUUUCACAAUUUCUUCCUUAAUCAUCGUCAUCAUGUAUAGCCACCUAUUAUCUCAUUUGAUUUUAGGGAGACCCCAUUAAAGUAGUAGUCGAGGAUUUAAAUGGUUAUACAGUCUAUAUAAGGAAUGGGUCUGACAAUCUUGCUUCUGCUAAUAUACGAAUGACAGGUAAGAAAUUUCCAUCAAGUAAGGUGUGUGUAUAUAUAUUAAUUGGAGGAUAGAUUUAACAUUCUCUCAAUGCAAUUUCCUUAGUAUAGGCAUCCUCAUUUAAAUAAUCAGUUAUCUUGGACUAGAAAAAGCAGUACUGUGUAUUCUUCAAAGCAGUUGUGUGGGUGGGUGCACAGAUUAAUAUUGUUAGUUCAUUCUUGUGUAUUGUUAAAUUUUCUCUUCCAUGUAUGCUCAGAUGGUGAUUUAUGAACUCACACGCACUUAUGCUUGCUUAUAUGUGUGGAAAAUGGUCUUAAGUUCUAAAUCCAAAACAUGAGGCACCUACUUCAUUCUUCCAAUACAAUCAUUUCCAUUUACCUUCACUUCAAUCAAGUUAUCUUCAGCUUAAAUGUACUUAUAAAAAUAAAAUAAAAUCUUUAGCUUACAUGUAUUCUGUGUUCUUUAAACAGCAACACCAUACCAGAUUUAACAUAGGUGAACAUCUAAUUGAGUAUUGAAGUCCAAUGAAAGUAAACUCAAGUUUGGGAUAGAGGAUUAUUCACAAUUGUUUAGAUUAUGAUUGUGUAUGCCUGGCUGAUCUAUUCCUCUUUAUAUGUCAAAAUUCUUUUUUGAACUUUGAAAAUGGUAAUUGUGUUAUGUAUCGAUUUUUUUUUCUCAUAAAAGAAAUGUAUCCUAUUAUUUUUGCCUGUUAGUAUGCUCUGUUUGGCCAUUGAGAAAUAGUCUGAUUUCAUGAAAACAUUAUGCUUUGAUAUUUUUUGUGUUAUUUUUGCCUAGAGUAGAAAAUUGGUAUGUGAAACAGAAUCAAAGACUCCGUAAAAUGUUAUUUUUAUGUGCUGUUAUUUGCUUCCAAAAUGUGUAAUAAUUGAAAUAAAAGUAAAAAUUGAUUAAGAAACAGAAAGAUAUAAGAAUAGCAAACGUAUGAAAAAAAACUCAUGCAAAUUUAUUAUUAAAAAAAAAAAACUAGAAGACUUCUUUUAUCAGUAAGAAGUGGAAGACUUUUGAGUCUUGCAAAAUAUAUAUAAAUGAAUCUUCACAUUUCCACGACCAAAUACCCUUUUUUUUUAACUCCUGAGUUCAAUUUUUUAAUCUUAUAUAGGUAUGAUUUUUAAGAUUUUUUUUUAGCUAUAUAUAUUCAUUUUAAUAUUUUGGAGGUAAAAUUUUUGGACUUGAGAAAAACAUUGGGAAACUUUUUUUUUUUCAUACUUUUACAAAGCCUCAAUUUUCAUAUUUUUCAAAAAUAUCUAGAAGUUUUCAUAUUUGUUGGGAUCAAAUAUAUUUUCUCCCAAAUAAGUUAUUUGAAUUUAAAUAAUAUUUUCAAAUUUUCAAGGGAUGCUAGGGGGACCAUGGACAGAUUUGGUCUCAACAUAGUUCUACCAAUGCAUAGUCCCAAUGUGGGGCUGGGGUGUUACAUUGCUAGCUACAUGGUUGAGCCUAAUGUUCCUUUAGUGGUUUCAUUGGUUUAUUUUACUAUUUUGAAUUCCAUUGUCUUGGUAAAUUGUGUAAAUUCCAUGGACAUAAUAUUUACCCCUAUAAAAAAAAAAAAAUUAGUUUAACAAAUAAGGAUAUUAAGCUCUAUUGGAUAAAAGAGCUGCUUCAUAGGAGUGAUGAGACUUGAUGCCUACACUACCAGUAGUGCAUGUAGUGUGUGUAUAUAUUGUAACUGCCCUCCACUCCCCUUAUCAUUUGAUCCAAUUAGAGAUCAAGUUCGAUGUAUAAUCUUUAACAUCAUAAACAUCAUGAUCACCAUCAGUGUCAUUAAUAUUACUAUGUUAGUGUUAGUAUUGUUAUACUUGACUAGAUUUACUUUGACAAAAACAUUCUUAUUGGUUAUGCAGAUGCAAAUUCUGUUGUUCCAUGAGGAGUUAAAUUAUUGGAGUUAUUUGCAGUUUGUGUGGAUAUGAGGCAAGUUCCAUUAACUUAGAUGAAGUUUGGAUUGGUCAUGGUUGUGGUCAUUGACUCUAUAUGCUUGUAGUUAAAAUCUUACUUUACAUAAUUAUUGCAAGAGGAGCUUCAUUUUGUAUAUCAUAUGGUGCUCUUGGGUAGGGUGUGCAGACCAUCAUAUAGAAUUGUCUUGCAACAAUUACACUGAAAGAAUUUAAACAUUUGGUGCUCAACCAAGGAGUCAACAAA
This is a long non-coding RNA of Carya illinoinensis, 3523 nucleotides long. RefSeq lists it as uncharacterized. The transcript is spliced from 2 exons. The record is from RefSeq and is a predicted model, not a curated record. NCBI's taxonomy places the organism in Eukaryota, Viridiplantae, Streptophyta, Magnoliopsida, Fagales, Juglandaceae.